Ooceraea biroi (clonal raider ant) is the source of this 5222-nucleotide long non-coding RNA. RefSeq lists it as uncharacterized. NCBI's taxonomy places the organism in Eukaryota, Metazoa, Arthropoda, Insecta, Hymenoptera, Formicidae. The record is from RefSeq and is a predicted model, not a curated record.
UAUUAAAAAAUAUUUUUAUUUCUUUUCUUUAAUUUUGAUCAUUUUCUCAAUGAUGAAUUUCUUGCUUUACAAUAAAGAGUGAUACUGGUACUGCAGAUCAAGGGCAAACCUGGAAAGCGAGUGAGACUCACGGUUACUGCGACGUUACAUUCAAUUGUUGUGUAUUGAUUGAUCUCUCUCUAUAUAUGCUAUUGUUAAAUAUAUUUUUAUUUUUCUUCUUUAACUUUGACUCAAUAUUAUAUCAAUAUUAGAUCUUAAGAUAACGAGUUAUUUAUAAUACUGUCAUGCGAUGCUAAAAUCAAGAGCAAAUCUGGAAAGUGAGAUUCGCGGUUGCUGUCGGCGCUACAUUCACCUAUUGAGUAUCAAUUGACCUAUGCUAAACAAUAUUUAAUCAAAAUUAUAUCUCAGAUUCUGUUUCCCCAUAUAAUUUUUAUUAUUGAUAGAAUAAAACCUCUUUAACUAGUAAUGUGCUAAAACCAUUUUUGCUUAUUUAACUUUUAUAUAAUACUAUUUCUUCAUCCUUUUUCGGUUAAAAUAUACACGUACAUUGAAUUUGAUCAAUUGACAUUAGUAGAUAAAAUGCAAGCGCGCGUGUGCUACAAUGACACGAGGAAUUCUAAGGCAAGGGGUUAAAGCGCACUCGAGGGCUGAUAAACGUCUAAGCAAAACUUUAAUAAAAGCCCCAAGCGUACGCGGGAUUUCCACAUUUCCCGGAUGGACUUUUGCAGAAGCACAAAUAACAAAAUACAAGUACAGCUUUGCAUUUCACCCUAAGAGGAAUCUACUUUAAUGGAAGUUCCACUUGAAUUUAUUAAUUCCAUUUGAAACGUUAAUUGGGAUCUUUUAUGUCAACAACAACAAAAUAUUGAAAAUAUUGGGAAAUCUUGUGAAACGAUAUUCUGUAUGUUCACAUCUUGCUUAAGAUUAUGUAGUUACUGUAUCGCAAAUUGUUUACCGCUGUUUAUACCGACCGUGCGCUUUUGUUAUUCUAUCUUUCGUUGAUUACAAAACGCGCUACAGUUUAUUGCCUUCGGGCAGUGUGCGAUCGAUUGUAUUGAGAAAAACUGCGUAUUAAAACUUGACGCAGCCGCGGUCGAACGAUUUUGCACAGAGAGCCACGUGUAUAAUAAUUGCAUACCGUGAGUAAUCCGGUCCACAAUUAGUCUUUAAAAAUAAUAAUCAAAAUAAAGACUAGCUUUGCGACACUGCCCUGCGUGAUGAUCCUAGUAGACAAUCGGAGUCGCAACGAAGUUAUAGAGUGAUUCUCGAUAAGUUAAUUGAACCCGACAGAAUGGUAUAAUCCGAGUUCACGCAAUCUCAUUAUGAAUCUUACACGCCUCCAUUACGCUUCUCAUCGAUAGAGAUAUUAUACACGAGCGAUCGUUCGAACGCGAUAAUCUCCGGCGCGGGAAGCCGUUCUGAAAUGCGCUUAGGGGAAACUUUCUUAAUUUACGCUCGUCGAUAUUCCCAAGGCCGGUGUAUUUUCUCGGCGAGUGCACGACGAUGCUCACGAUGCCGGAAAGUGCUUCUUGGCGAACGCACUCCAUUGCCAAGGCUAGCUCAAAGGCCUGCGUGCACUCGGCCGCUUCUCUCUCUCUCAUUCUUUCUUUCCCUCUUUUUUUUCUUUUUUCCUCUAGCGCUUUUCAAGUAAAAAAACGGACGACACCCUCUUAGUACACUGAAAUUGGUGAAGCUCUUUGCAGUCCUUUUUUGGGCGCGGGAAAACGUGCAGUUACCUAGACAUAGGCUCGUGUUUUCGCUGCGCAAAUGAAGAUGUUGAAAAGCGAGUGAUCUUAUGUUAAAUCACCGGAUGAGUAAUUUUAUACGAAAAUCUGACGGAUACAUGUAAAAGUUAUAAAUAGUCAUUUAAAGAGUUAAAUAGCGUAAAAUUAAAAUUCAAACAUUUUUUGCGCCAGAAACGGAGUCACUGGCUCGCUUCGUUACGCGCAAUUACGUCAAUUAUCGUGAUCAUCGCAAAUAUUAAUAUUUUCAGUCGUCAGCCAACUUUGAUGAAGCUUUAGGAAGGCUUUAACGCGCGCGAUUAAUAUCUCAAACUCUCAUCGUCGCUCGCAUCACUGCCAAGGCCGCUCGAAGGCCGGGCAUAGCUCGAAAGCCUGGCUUUUCCAGCACGUUUAUCCACCCCGAACGAAGAUCAACGACCCUGGCCAACGGGGCAGGACGUAAGGGGCGUCGCUAUGAUGGCGCUUGUCAUAGUGAACAUCAUUAUCGUCAUCUAGGAAGAGAGUGAUUAUCGUUGGAAUCAUCGUGCGAGUUAUCACGCUGGAAAUAUACUUGUAGCUUACUUUGUCAAUGUACAAAUUGAUUUGGUUAACGAAAACAAUGUUCGUUUAAUAACUUUUUGACGGAAAUCAGAGUCGACUUUUCCCAUAAAAAAUAGAUUUUUAUUGACAAUCUCGUUUAACAAAAAUUGAAGUAGAUUUUUAUUCAUGGAACUCAAAAAUAAUUCUUGUUGAAAUAUUGGAUUGACCGGAAAGCCCGAACGGAUUUUUUUAGCAAACUUCAAGCGCAAAACUUUACGCAUUAAGAAAUAAAAUAAAAUAAUAAAACAGAAAACGUUUUCUGAUCAAAAUUACGGUCCACUGUGACUGUAGUCAAAGUUGCAUGGCCUUCGGAAUCGAAAAAGUAUGGCUUGAGAUUUAUCAUUCGCCACAUACUGAAAUAUGCGCGAGAAUCCGCGUUUUCCUUUUUCCUAUAAACCACAGGAAAGUCCGCAGGUUACUUCGAGUCUCCAUACUUUCCGUAAAGUUCGCGCAAUAAUUUAAAGGACCGGAUUUUCCUGAAAGCGUGACACGCGGAACAGGAAGAAGAGAGAAACGAACGCCGACUGCUUCUAGCAGGCAGCUGUGCGCUGCCACUUUUAACUUAGCUUCGCGUAAUCCGUUUACGUGCACGUGUGUGUGUGUGUGUGUGUGUGUGUGUAACCGUUGAGAAAUGGUCGGGCGACGCACCGUGCAUUCCGGAAGUGCUUCCAGAUUCAUCCUAUCUUCAGCAAUGUUCAUCUCUCAGCCGAAAGCGACGAUUAGGUAUUAAACUCGAUAAUACAUCUAACAGAACGUGUUUUUUCGUGGACAUCAUGAAGAGGAUUCCGUAGAAUUGCUUCCUUUCCUCCCCCUCUCUCGCGCGAUUUAUCGCUAUAAUAAUUUUUUAUUCUUACAGGAACUGGAUUAUUCAGAUUCAUCAUAAGAUAUAAGGUACAAUUAUUUUUUAAGUUUUAAUGAAUAAAAAUACCAAUUUAUUUACGACCGCGCUUUGUCUGCUAUUUUCAACUUUUCUGUUAUUUUUAUUUCUGUUAUUAACUCUUUCUGUUUAUUAAACAAACACUAACCUACAGAUGUAAAUAAUUGCAUUUUAUAUUUUUUUUACAUAUAAUAUAACAAUAUUCAUUGCAUAUUGGUCACCGGUGACCGACAAAACAUUAGCUGAAAGUUCAGUGUCGGUCACGGGUGACUGUCAUGGCGACGAAUGUGUUAAAAAUAAAAUGUUAUUGCAUUUAUAAAUUAUUUAUAUUAUGAUGUAAUCUUAUAAACUACGACACACCGAUUUUCAUAAACUUUUAAAUUACUAUUGGAGCAACGAGACAGCUUGAUGCAUCUUUUAUAAACGGCAUCAUACAUUCUCUCUUAUUACUAUCAUUUUUUCAUGCCGAUUGCAUUACUAAUGAAAAAUACUUCGUUCUCGGUGAGUUGCCAGCAUGAGUCCAUUGCUUUGAUGUGUUUUAUAAGUCAUAUGCGUUUCAUUUGGUCUAUACAUAUAUUCGUAAUCCUGCGAGAGUGCAACCUGUGUCGCGAGCGUUUAUCCCUUAACGGUUAAGGCUUAACCCAUGGUAUGAAUAUAUGUAAAUAUAAUAUUUACAUCAUCUUAGAUUCUAAUUAAACUUUUGAUGUGUUAAAUGACAACGAGUAAAGGCGCGAUACCACUUACCCAUACCUCAGGGCAAGGGUGAGCUGGGCCUGAUUCUGGGGAGCCGAUUCCCGAUUGAAAAUCCUUCAAAACAUCGGAAGUUACGGAGGGAUGACCCCACCUCUCUGUAUUUGGAAUAGGCCCGCAAGAGCAGCAGGUUUCGAAAAGUCUUGCAGGAUGUACAGGCCCCGGUUCUGGGAGGGCCUUGGAAGUUAUGCCUUCAGGCGCGCCUAGGUUUCCCUCAACAUGCGCAUGAAAUCACACGAGGGUUGGUCAUGCUCGGGUGGUCUCUCGCACACGCCUUGUGUGUGUGUUGGCGAUAUUUCUAGCGGCGAGGCCGACGCACCAUGGCCCAGUUUAAUGCCUCUGGGCGAUGCCGGCCUACAUCGACCGAUGCGUAUUUACGUACAUGCGGGCGGCGACGACGACGCGACGGCUGACGCCCGGCGCGCACUUAACUUCUCGUGCGCGGAAACACCCGCGAGAUAUGAAGCACGCGCGGAAUGCAAAGUGCCGCACAUUUGUGAAGUUAAUCCCGAAUUUCUUGAAUUUUGUAACUCUCAAAAAAGAUUCAUUGUUAACACAAAAUCUUACGAUCCAAUAAAAGUAAAAUUCAUUUUAAAAUUGAAAAUGCACACUCCGUAUAUCUUAUAUAGCGCAAACUUUAAAUUACUGAAAGUUGAGUUACUCCUCGCGCAUUUCCGCUGUUUCCUGUUUGUGCAAUGUUUCUUCUUUUAUUUUGACCGUGAAUGCAAUGCAUAAUUUAAUUUGGUCGCGCCUGAAUUCUUCGUAAAGUUACUUUUUAAAUGGUAAGACGAAAAACAGCGAACCGUACUGAAAAUAGAUGCAGCUGGCAGUUGCGACGUUCGCAACGGAGCAAAAACUUCCUGGUCGCGUGUUAGCGCCGAUUGUUGUGUAACAUUUUUCCGGCGAUGUUCUUUCUGUAAAAUUGAUUUUCUUCCCGAUAGACUUUGUAGGUUAAAUUAAAUAUAUGAAGCUAUAAAUACACUGCCACGGAUUACUUCUUAUAUAUCAAAGUUUAUCCGUUCUACAACUGGCGCAAAAAACAAAGAAUUAUGAGAUAUCAUUUUUCCAAAAUAAUGAAAAUAUGGAAAUCGGCGAGAAAUGUUUCAUGUGCACAAAUAAAUGUUUUCAUUCAGCUGUAUGAAUUAAAUGACUUUAUCAUCGCGUGUUGUGAAAUAAUAUUAUAAUUUGUAAAAUUGCCAUUUGCGUGCGUAACAUAAUUUUAUGGACGUCUGUACUUUCUUUUGUUAUAAUCCGCUUGGGACACGGCGGGUAAU